GCCUUGUUAAGAACAGAAUGCUUGAGUUAUCUCAUUUGAUCGUUCACAGUUAGUUACAGAUCGAACUCCUUGUUCUACUACUUUUCCUCCCUCCUCACUACUGCACUUGACUAGUCUUUA
RNAcentral lists this small RNA (120 nucleotides) under Microcebus murinus (gray mouse lemur). Its description in RNAcentral is "Y RNA (ENSMICG00000025261.3)". Lineage: Eukaryota; Metazoa; Chordata; Mammalia; Primates; Cheirogaleidae. The record is from RNAcentral.